CAGACGAACGCUGGCGGCGUGCUUAACACAUGCAAGUCGAACGCGAAGGGACUCGGUCCUGAGUAAAGUGGCGGCACGGGUGAGUAACGCGUAGAUAACCUGUCUUCAUGGUCUGGAAUAAUACGCCGAAAGGGGUACUAAUACCGGAUAUUCUUGCUUUUCAUAAGUUAUGGCAAGCAAAGGUGGCCUCUGCAUAUGCUACUGCAUGAAGAGGGGUCUGCGUACCAUUAGCUAGUAGGUGGGGUAAUGGCCUACCUAGGCGACGAUGGUUAGCGGGUCUGAGAGGAUGAUCCGCCACACUGGCACUGGAACACGGGCCAGACUCCUACGGGAGGCAGCAGUGAGGAAUAUUGCGCAAUGGGGGAAACCCUGACGCAGCGACGGCCGCGUGAGUGAAGGAAGGCCUUCGGGUCGUAAAGCUCUGUCAAGAGGAAAGAAGUGUACAAUGGCUAAUACCUGUUGUAUUUGACGGUACCUCUAAAGGAAGCACCGGCUAACUCCGUGCCAGCAGCCGC
RNAcentral lists this ribosomal RNA (515 nucleotides) under uncultured bacterium. RNAcentral describes it as "bacterial SSU rRNA". It matches the Rfam family "Bacterial small subunit ribosomal RNA", at positions 28 to 518 of the family's 1533-position model. The record is from RNAcentral.